CUACGGGACGCUCCAGUGGGGAAUAUUGCACAAUGGGCGCAAGCCUGAUGCAGCCAUGCCGCGUGUAUGAAGAAGGCCUUCGGGUUGUAAAGUACUUUCAGCGGGGAGGAAGGGAGUAAAGUUAAUACCUUUGCUCAUUGACGUUACCCGCAGAAGAAGCACCGGCUAACUCCGUGCCAGCAGCCGCGGUAAUACGGAGGGUGCAAGCGUUAAUCGGAAUUACUGGGCGUAAAGCGCACGCAGGCGGUUUGUUAAGUCAGAUGUGAAAUCCCCGGGCUCAACCUGGGAACUGCAUCUGAUACUGGCAAGCUUGAGUCUCGUAGAGGGGGGUAGAAUUCCAGGUGUAGCGGUGAAGUGCGUAGAGAUCUGGAGGAAUACCGGUGGCGAAGGCGGCCCCCUGGACGAAGACUGACGCUCAGGUGCGAAAGCGUGGGGAGCAAACAGGAUUAGAUACCCGAGUAGUC
RNAcentral lists this ribosomal RNA (464 nucleotides) under uncultured bacterium. RNAcentral's name for it is "partial 16S ribosomal RNA". It matches the Rfam family "Bacterial small subunit ribosomal RNA", at positions 339 to 795 of the family's 1533-position model. The record is from RNAcentral.